This 297-nucleotide ribosomal RNA is filed under the name Foraminifera environmental sample. RNAcentral's name for it is "partial small subunit ribosomal RNA". Lineage: Eukaryota; Foraminifera. The record is from RNAcentral.
CGGUCACGUUCGUUGCAUUCAAUUAGUACUUCAAUUAAGUUAUAUACCGAAUUCAAACUAGUGAACUCAAAGUAUAAGUUUAAAAGGUACAUAUUUUCUGAAACGCAAUUAAGCAGACAGAUCACUCCACGAACUAAAGACGGCCAUGCACCACCUAUCACAUAAUCAUGAAAGGACUAUCAUAUUUGCCUUUAAAAUACUUUAAAAAAGUAAAUUAAAUUAUCACCUGUCAAUCCUUAGUGUGUUCGGACCUGGUAAGGUAUCGCGCGUUGGGUCAAAUUAAGCCACACGCUCCAC